RNAcentral lists this ribosomal RNA (491 nucleotides) under uncultured bacterium. RNAcentral's name for it is "partial 16S ribosomal RNA". It matches the Rfam family "Bacterial small subunit ribosomal RNA", at positions 28 to 507 of the family's 1533-position model. The record is from RNAcentral.
GAUGAACGCUAGCUACAGGCUUAACACAUGCAAGUCGAGGGGAAACGAUGAGAGAGCUUGCUCUCUUAGUCGUCGACCGGCGCACGGGUGAGUAACGCGUAUCCAACCUGCCUCUGACCAAGGGAUAACCCGUCGAAAGUCGGACUAAUACCUUAUGCAGUCGUCGGAAGUCAUCUGAUGACGACGAAAGAUUUCAUCGGUGAGAGAUGGGGAUGCGUCUGAUUAGCUUGUUGGCGGGGUAACGGCCCACCAAGGCGACGAUCAGUAGGGGUUCUGAGAGGAAGGGCCCCCACAGUGGAACUGAGACACGGUCCAAACUCCUACGGGAGGCAGCAGUGAGGAAUAGUGGUCAAUGGGCGUAAGCCUGAACCAGCCAAGUAGCGUGCAGGAUGACGGCCCUAUGGGUUGUAAACUGCUUUUAUGCGGGGAUAAAGUGAGGGACGUGUCCUUCAUUGCAGGUACCGCAUGAAUAAGGACCGGCUAAUUCCGUG